UACGAAGGGGGCUAGCGUUGUUCGGAAUUACUGGGCGUAAAGCGCGUGUAGGCGGGUCUUUAAGUCAGGGGUGAAAUGCCAAGGCUCAACCUUGGAACUGCCUUUGAUACUGGAGACCUUGAGUCCGGGAGAGGUGAGUGGAAUUGCGAGUGUAGAGGUGAAAUUCGUAGAUAUUCGCAAGAACACCAGUGGCGAAGGCGGCUCACUGGCCCGGAACUGACGCUGAGGUGCGAAAGCGUGGGGAGCAAACAGG
RNAcentral lists this ribosomal RNA (253 nucleotides) under uncultured bacterium. RNAcentral's name for it is "partial 16S ribosomal RNA". It matches the Rfam family "Bacterial small subunit ribosomal RNA", at positions 524 to 776 of the family's 1533-position model. The record is from RNAcentral.